This 794-nucleotide long non-coding RNA is filed under the name Amborella trichopoda. RNAcentral describes it as "long non-coding RNA (ATRI_LNC002174)". Lineage: Eukaryota; Viridiplantae; Streptophyta; Magnoliopsida; Amborellales; Amborellaceae. The record is from RNAcentral.
CAGUAAGUUAGAGAGAGAAAACUCUUCUGGGACCAUACUAUUCUCUGAUCAGAGAGAAGGGAACGAAGACUUCUAGUAGAGAGAGAAACCCAGAGAGAGAUCAAGGAGCAGAGAGACAAGAGAGAUUUGGAGGCACCGAGAAUUCAGCAAUCUUGGUGUGGUGAUUCAAGCCAAAAAAAAGAGAUACCCAAAUACAUAUAUGGACCUUUGAUGAAAAUCAGGGGAAAGAAAGUAUGGUUUGCAUGGAAUGGGUAUGCACUAAAUUAAACAAUCGUGGGAAUGGGUAUGCACCAAGAGAAAGUAGAGGGACUCGAUUAAACAAUCGUGGGAUUCACAAGAAAAAGAACAACUCAAAUUGCAAUACCUGGUGUUCUUCCAGAAGUUGCAGAGAAAUGGAAACGAGAUUUGCAGGAAACAGCGGAGAUAAGAGAGACUAUAGAGAUUUGGGGGCCGAGAGUUAACAGAUAUUUGGGGGCCAAACUUUGGGGAUUCGAGAGGUAAGAGAGAUUUGGGGGCUGAGAGAUAAGAUAGAGAGCGAGGGAUCACGACACGCAGGUGUAGAGAGAGAGGGUUGGAGAGUAGGCGGAAAUCACUCAACCACGAUAGAGAGAGAUCAGAGAGAUAAGAGGGUUCAUAGAUAAGAGAGAGAUCAGAGAAAUAAGAGCCGAGAGGUCUGAGAGAGAUAAGGGAUCAAGGACGUCUUAGAGAAAUACCGUGACAGAAAGGUUAAUCAGAGUCGAGGACCCACACAGAGAAGGUCAAGAUAGGAUUUCAGAUAACUUUGCUCUGACGCC